This 1415-nucleotide ribosomal RNA is filed under the name human metagenome. RNAcentral's name for it is "bacterial LSU rRNA". It matches the Rfam family "Bacterial large subunit ribosomal RNA", at positions 923 to 2247 of the family's 2925-position model. The record is from RNAcentral.
GGCGGGCAACUGUACCCACCGUUAACAAACUACGAAUACCGUUGGUGGUACCAUGGCAGUUAGAACAUCGGGGCUAAGCUCGGUGCUCAAAAGGGAAACAGCCCAGACCAUCAUCUAAGGUCCCUAAAUUAACACUAAGUGGGAAACAAGGUGAAAUUUCUUAAACAGCGAGGAUGUUGGCUUAGAAGCAGCCAUUCAUUUAAAGAGUGCGUAACAGCUCACUCGUCAAGAGAUUUUGCGUGGAAAAUGUAACGGGGCUAAAGUGUUAUACCGAAGAUAUGGAUUUCAUUAUUCCUACGGGUUUAAUGGAGUGGUAGAGGAGCGUUCCUAUCGGCAGUGAAGCUCAAUCGUAAGGUUGGGUGGAGCGUUAGGAAGUGAGAAUGCUGGAAUGAGUAACCAUAAGAAAGGUGAGAAUCCUUUCGGCCGUAAGAGCGAGGUUUCCAGGGCUACUGUAAUAAUCCCUGGGUUAGUCGGGCCUAAGCCGAGGCGUAGCAGCGUAGGCGAUGGACAUCAGGUUAAUAUUCCUGAACCGGUUAUAAUUUGUAUACUGUGUACGGUAAAUUAGUCGAAGCGGAUUAUUGGUAUAUAUCCGUCCAACUUAGCGGGAACGCAAAAGGAGUGAAAGUUAAUCUACGGAUUAACGAUUUUGAUGAAAGUACUGGCUAGAAAAGCAGAUAUACGCGUGGUUAUAGCCGCCCGUACCGCAAACCAACACAGGUGCUCGAGUCGAGUAGACUCAGGCUUACGAGAGACCCUUCGCUAAGGAACUCGGCAAAACAGCGACCGUAACUUCGGGAUAAGGUCUGCCUCCGCAUCAUUCGAUGCGAGUCGUGUUUCAAGCAAUUAGGUUAAGAUUAAUGGUAUAUAUGAGUAUCUUAAACUUCUUUACCGAGAUAGAACAAGUCAAAUGGCUUAGCUUGGAACGUGGCAAACUCGUAUCAAACGAUGCGGAGGCCGCAGCAAAAGAGCCCACGGAACUGUUUACCAAAAACACAGGUCUCUGCGAACACGAAAGUGGAUGUAUAGGGGCUGACUCCUGCCCAGUGCUGGAAGGUUAAGGGGAGUGCUUUACGGUGCGAACUGAAGCCCCAGUGAACGGCGGCGGUAACUAUAACCGUCCUAAGGUAGCGAAAUUCCUUGUCAGGUAAGUUCUGACCCGCACGAAUGGAGUAAUCAUGUGGGCACUGUCUCGGCGAAGGACUCGGUGAAAGUGCAUUGGCGGUAAAGAUGCCGUCUGUCCAUGCCAGGACGAGAAGACCCCAUGGAGCUUUACUACAGCUUUACAUUGACACGGGUUACAUUAUGUGUAGCAUAGGUGGGAGGCUUUGAAGCAGAUACGCCAGUAUUUGUGGAGCCACAGGUGAAAUACCACCCUUAAUGUAGUCUUUGUCUUACCAUUGCCGUUAUCCGGUAAU